GCAAGUCGAACGAUGAAGCCUCACUUGUGGGGUGGAUUAGUGGCGAACGGGUGAGUAACACGUGAGCAACCUGCCCCUGACUCUGGGAUAAGCGCUGGAAACGGUGUCUAAUACUGGAUAUGAGCUCUCACCGCAUGGUGGGGGUUGGAAAGAUUUUUUGGUUGGGGAUGGGCUCGCGGCCUAUCAGCUUGUUGGUGAGGUAAUGGCUCACCAAGGCGUCGACGGGUAGCCGGCCUGAGAGGGUGACCGGCCACACUGGGACUGAGACACGGCCCAGACUCCUACGGGAGGCAGCAGUGGGGAAUAUUGCACAAUGGGCGGAAGCCUGAUGCAGCAACGCCGCGUGGGGGAUGACGGCCUUCGGGUUGUAAACCUCUUUUAGCAAGGAAGAAGCGAAAGUGACGGUACUUGCAGAAAAAGCGCCGGCUAACUACGUGCCAGCAGCCGCGGUAAUACGUAGGGCGCAAGCGUUAUCCGGAAUUAUUGGGCGUAAAGAGCUCGUAGGCGGUUUGUCGCGUCUGCUGUGAAAUCCCGAGGCUCAACCUCGGGCCUGCAGUGGGUACGGGCAGACUAGAGUGCGGUAGGGGAGAUUGGAAUUCCUGGUGUAGCGGUGGAAUGCGCAGAUAUCAGGAGGAACACCGAUGGCGAAGGCAGAUCUCUGGGCCGUAACUGACGCUGAGGAGCGAAAGGGUGGGGAGCAAACAGGCUUAGAUACCCUGGUAGUCCACCCCGUAAACGUUGGGAACUAGUUGUGGGGUCCUUUCCACGGAUUCCGUGACGCAGCUAACGCAUUAAGUUCCCCGCCUGGGGAGUACGGCCGCAAGGCUAAAACUCAAAGGAAUUGACGGGGACCCGCACAAGCGGCGGAGCAUGCGGAUUAAUUCGAUGCAACGCGAAGAACCUUACCAAGGCUUGACAUACACGAGAACACCCUAGAAAUAGGGGACUCUUUGGACACUCGUGAACAGGUGGUGCAUGGUUGUCGUCAGCUCGUGUCGUGAGAUGUUGGGUUAAGUCCCGCAACGAGCGCAACCCUCGU
RNAcentral lists this ribosomal RNA (1039 nucleotides) under Microbacterium trichothecenolyticum. Its description in RNAcentral is "bacterial SSU rRNA". It matches the Rfam family "Bacterial small subunit ribosomal RNA", at positions 57 to 1108 of the family's 1533-position model. Lineage: Bacteria; Bacillati; Actinomycetota; Actinomycetes; Micrococcales; Microbacteriaceae. The record is from RNAcentral.